Austrofundulus limnaeus is the source of this 105-nucleotide long non-coding RNA. RefSeq lists it as uncharacterized. The transcript is spliced from 2 exons. Lineage: Eukaryota; Metazoa; Chordata; Actinopteri; Cyprinodontiformes; Rivulidae. The record is from RefSeq and is a predicted model, not a curated record.
CACCUCCUGGAUUCAUCUUGCCUCUCCUUCCAAGUCUGCCUCCACCUCCUAAACCUGAAAAUCUCUGGAACAAACCCACUGUAAAUAAACUCACUUAUCUUCUUA